This 296-nucleotide ribosomal RNA is filed under the name uncultured bacterium. Its description in RNAcentral is "partial 16S ribosomal RNA". The record is from RNAcentral.
GGACUACCCGGGUAUCUAAUCCCAUUCGCUCCCCACGCUCUCGUCCUAGCAGUGUCAGGUGGCACCCAGAAGCCUGCCUACGCUAUUGGUGUUCCGAACGAUAUCAACGCAUUUCACUACUACACCGUUCGUUCCAGCUUCCUCUUUGCCCCUCUAGCUCACAAGUUUCAAAAGACAUUCCCAAGGUUAAGCCUUAGGAUUUCACUUCUGACUUUGUAAGCCACCUAUCGGUACGCUUUACGCCCAAUGAUUCCGGAUAACGCUUGAGGUCUCUGUAUUACCGCGGCGGCUGGCAC